Long non-coding RNA from Triplophysa rosa, 645 nucleotides. RefSeq lists it as uncharacterized. The transcript has 3 exons. NCBI's taxonomy places the organism in Eukaryota, Metazoa, Chordata, Actinopteri, Cypriniformes, Nemacheilidae. The record is from RefSeq and is a predicted model, not a curated record.
GUGGUGCCUGGCCAGAGUAAGCUUCACUGUGGAACAGACUUUAUGGCUAUCAGUAGAAGUCUGGGGGCCAAGGUUUUGUUCAUGGUCCAGUCAACCCCUGCAGCUUUCUUCUGCCGCUGAGGUCCCCUGCCAAAGAAGAUGUAGUUGACCAGCGCAUACUCCAGCAGAGCCAGGAAGACAAAGACGAAACAGCCCAUAAGGACUUGACACCUGCACACAGUGCCAAAGCUACCAGUACCUGGUUUAAGGACCAUGGUAUCCCUGUUCUUAAUUGGCCAGCAAACUCGCCUGACCUUAACCCCAUAGAAAAUCUAUGGGGUAUUGUGAAGAGGAAGAUGCGAUAUGCCAGACCCAACAAUGCAGAAGAGCUGAAGGCCACUAUCAGAGCAACCUGGGCUCUCAUAACACCUGAGCAGUGCUACAGACUGAUCGACUCCAUGCCACGCUGCAUUGCUGCAGUAAUUCAGGCAAAAGGAGCCCCAACUAAGUAUUGAGUGCUGUACAUGCUCAUACUUUUCAUGUUCAUACUUUUCAGUUGGCCAAGAUUUCUAAAAAUCCUUUCUUUGUAUUGGUCUUAAGUAAUAUUCUAAUACUGAAUUUGGGAUUUUCAUUAGUUGUCAGUUAUAAUCAUCAAAUUAAAAGAAA